Long non-coding RNA from Mercenaria mercenaria, 1232 nucleotides. RefSeq lists it as uncharacterized. NCBI's taxonomy places the organism in Eukaryota, Metazoa, Mollusca, Bivalvia, Venerida, Veneridae. The transcript is spliced from 3 exons. The record is from RefSeq and is a predicted model, not a curated record.
AUAUGUUUUCAUUUUGUAUCAUGUUACCUUCAGGAGUCAUGCCGUUAUUGUCAAGUAGAGUGGGAAGAACAUUUUGGGAAAAAAUGUUCAGAGGUUGAAAAGAAAGAUGAGACCAAAUUAAGACUGGAAUAUGAAGAGAAAAUGACAAAAGCCAAGGUGAGAGUUUGUCACAGAUGCAAGGCACAGUUUAUGAAGCUGGAUGGUUGUAAUAAGAUGACAUGUCGCUGUGGGGCCAAAAUGUGUUACAUCUGCAGACAACCAAAUAUUGAUUAUAAUCAUUUCUGUCGCCAUCCUCGAGAUCCAGGCAAAGAAUGCACCACCUGUAAGGCCUGCAACUUGUGGACCAAUCCAGAGGUUUGAUUUCUCUUUAUUAGCAUCUUACGUACUGACUGCCUCAUAGUAUUUCUCCCCACUUCACAUACAUACAUAUGAACUUUUCAUAGAGCUCACAGAGGAUUCUGAAGGGGGAUUUACUUAGUAAUAUAAACUUUUGCAUCCAAAAAAUUGUUUUAAAAAAUACAUUUUUGUGCCCCCCCCCCCAUGAGUGGUGGGGGCAUAUAGAUUUGCUCUUGUCCGUCCAUCCGAGGUUCGUGACACGCCUAGCUCAAAAAGUAUUUGAUAUAAAUUGAUGAAACCUUGCCUGAGUCUUUAUCAUGAUAUGAACUUGCGCACCUUCUAUUUUUCGUCUGGCUCCGCCCCCUAAUUUUAGAGUUAUGGCCCCUGAAAUAGUCAAAAAUGCACAUUUUCACCUUGUGACAGGCCUAGCUUAUAAAGUACACUCUAAACCCAUUAUAACGCUACUCGAUAUACCGCGGUCCUCGAUAUAACGCUGUAUGGCCUUGGCGCCCAAAUUUUACAGGGUAAAAAAAAAAUUAAAACUACAAGUACCUGUGUUCUUUAACACCUUUCCAUGACAACUGUCACAAAAAUCAAUAAUUGUCUGCUAGCUUACUUGUUUGCAUAUCGCCUUUGUUAAAGUUUCAAUACAUGUAGACAUGUGACAAUUAGGCAAUCAGUACCGUGUCAAAAUUAGAUUGUUUGCAUAACAAGCGUGUAACAUUGGUCAGUCAACUAUCAAACCGUUUAAGUUUGCACCAAUUAAGCAGAUGACAUGAUCACUUGAGUGAAUAAAAAAUCGAAUUUUGUAAUAAACUGCAGCCGUUUUUCGUAAUCAUCACACUCAAUUCAUCGGAAAUAACGAAGAUUCGACGCACUGAAAGCCUUGCUGAGAA